GGGAGGGCGGCGUGCUAUACAUGCAGUCGAGCGAACAGAUAAGGAGCUUGCUCCUUUGACGUUAGCGGCGGACGGGUGAGUAACACGUGGGUAACCUACCUAUAAGACUGGGAUAACUUCGGGAAACCGGAGCUAAUACCGGAUAACAUUUGGAACCGCAUGGUUCUAAAGUGAAAGAUGGUUUUGCUAUCACUUAUAGAUGGACCCGCGCCGUAUUAGCUAGUUGGUAAGGUAACGGCUUACCAAGGCGACGAUACGUAGCCGACCUGAGAGGGUGAUCGGCCACACUGGAACUGAGACACGGUCCAGACUCCUACGGGAGGCAGCAGUAGGGAAUCUUCCGCAAUGGGCGAAAGCCUGACGGAGCAACGCCGCGUGAGUGAUGAAGGGUUUCGGCUCGUAAAACUCUGUUAUUAGGGAAGAACAAAUGUGUAAGUAACUGUGCACAUCUUGACGGUACCUAAUCAGAAAGCCACGGCUAACUACGUGCCAGCAGCCGCGGUAAUACGUAGGUGGCAAGCGUUAUCCGGAAUUAUUGGGCGUAAAGCGCGCGUAGGCGGUUUCUUAAGUCUGAUGUGAAAGCCCACGGCUCAACCGUGGAGGGUCAUUGGAAACUGGGAAACUUGAGUGCAGAAGAGGAAAGUGGAAUUCCAUGUGUAGCGGUGAAAUGCGCAGAGAUAUGGAGGAACACCAGUGGCGAAGGCGACUUUCUGGUCUGUAACUGACGCUGAUGUGCGAAAGCGUGGGGAUCAAACAGGAUUAGAUACCCUGGUAGUCCACGCCGUAAACGAUGAGUGCUA
This 800-nucleotide ribosomal RNA is filed under the name Staphylococcus sp. SQ84C1. Its description in RNAcentral is "bacterial SSU rRNA". It matches the Rfam family "Bacterial small subunit ribosomal RNA", at positions 33 to 818 of the family's 1533-position model. Lineage: Bacteria; Bacillati; Bacillota; Bacilli; Caryophanales; Staphylococcaceae. The record is from RNAcentral.